RNAcentral lists this transfer RNA (63 nucleotides) under Dromaeolus sp. ZM-2022. RNAcentral describes it as "tRNA-Thr". The record is from RNAcentral. Lineage: Eukaryota; Metazoa; Arthropoda; Insecta; Coleoptera; Eucnemidae.
GUCCUAAUAAUUUAAUAAAAAUAUUGGUUUUGUAAACCAAAAUUAGGCUAAGCCUUUAGAACA